GAUUCCAAGUCUAUAGGGCAGCCAUUGAGGACAAUAACGUGACAAAUAUCAAUAAGAAAUGUUCACGUAGUCUGUUAUUUAGUCAUGUUAGGGUCACACACAUACAUCCAUGAUGUCCAUUUACAGAGCCCACAUCAUAACCAAAACACUGUUUAGCCCACAGCAAAUUGAAAUUCCCUUGAAGAAUCUCCCUUUCUGAGUAAUGACUGUAAAGGCAGCUGAAGUCUUCAGUCCUUUGGCACGCAACAACCAAACACCUGUCACACACCUUCAAACCAGCCCUUGUAGGAGGUGCAAUGUGGGAGAUCUGUGUGUGAGGAUGCAAGAGGGAAAUUAACUGAAAAGGGCCCUGGUGUUCCCCAUCCACCCACCCCACCUCAGCUCUCUGACUCAGGGGCUACAAGGC
Molecule: long non-coding RNA, 406 nt
Organism: Salvelinus namaycush (lake trout)
Lineage: Eukaryota; Metazoa; Chordata; Actinopteri; Salmoniformes; Salmonidae
Exons: 3
Source: RefSeq, a predicted model, not a curated record